GGCUAACGCUGGCGGCGCGCCUAACACAUGCAAGUCGAACGGGCACUUCGGUGCUAGUGGCAGACGGGUGAGUAACGCGUGAGCAACGUGCCUCUUUUCUGGGGAUACCGUUUCGAAAGGAACGUUAAUACCGAAUGUGGUGUAACUGCGGCAUCGUAGUUUCACUAAACUGUUAGGGAGAAGAGAUCGGCUCGCGUACUAUCAGCUAGAUGGUGGGGUAACGCCUACCAUGGCUACGACGGUUAACUGGUCUGAGAGGAUGAUCAGUCACACUGGAACUGAGACACGGUCCAGACUCCUACGGGAGGCAGCAGUGAGGAAUCUUGCACAAUGGGCGAAAGCCUGAUGCAGCGACGCCGCGUGAGGGACGAA
Molecule: ribosomal RNA, 372 nt
Filed under: uncultured bacterium
Lineage: Bacteria
Description: bacterial SSU rRNA
Rfam family: Bacterial small subunit ribosomal RNA
Source: RNAcentral